This 506-nucleotide ribosomal RNA is filed under the name uncultured bacterium. RNAcentral describes it as "partial 16S ribosomal RNA". It matches the Rfam family "Bacterial small subunit ribosomal RNA", at positions 29 to 523 of the family's 1533-position model. The record is from RNAcentral.
AGUGAACGCUGGCGGUAGGCCUAACACAUGCAAGUCGAACGGCAGCACAGGAGAGCUUGCUCUCUGGGUGGCGAGUGGCGGACGGGUGAGGAAUACAUCGGAAUCUACUCUGUCGUGGGGGAUAACGUAGGGAAACUUACGCUAAUACCGCAUACGACCUACGGGUGAAAGCAGGGGACCUUCGGGCCUUGCGCGAUUGAAUGAGCCGAUGUCGGAUUAGCUAGUUGGCGGGGUAAAGGCCUACCAAGGCGACGAUCCGUAGCUGGUCUGAGAGGAUGGUCAGCCACACUGGAACUGAGACACGGUGCAGACUCCUACGGGAGGCGGCAGUGGGGAAUAUUGGACAAUGGGCGCAAGCCUGAUUCAGCCAUACCGCGUGGGUGAAGAAGGCCUUCGGGUUGUAAAGCCCUUUUGUUGGGAAAGAAAUCCAGCUGGCUAAUACCCGGUUGGGAUGACGGUACCCAAAGAAUAAGCACCGGCUAACUUCGUGCCAGCAGCCGCCGUAA